GAUGAACGCUAGCGGCAGGCCUAAUACAUGCAAGUCGAACGGGUGGUCGCAAGACCACUAGUGGCGCACGGGUGCGUAACGCGUAACCAACCUGCCCCGAUCUGGGGGAUAGCCCGCCGAAAGGCGGAUUAAUACCGCAUAUACCCGCAGCCUGGCAUCAGGCACCGGGGAAAGAUUUAUUGGAUCGGGAUGGGGUUGCGUGACAUUAGCUAGUUGGCGGGGUAAGGGCCCACCAAGGCGACGAUGUCUAGGGGACCUGAGAGGGUGAUCCCCCACACUGGCACUGGGAUAAGGGCCAGACUCCUACGGGAGGCAGCAGUAGGGAAGAUUGGGCAAUGGGCGAGAGCCUGACCCAGCCAUGCAGCGAGCCGGAUGAAGGCCUUCUGGGUUGUAAACGGCUUUUCUCAGGGAAGAAAAAGACCUUGCGAGGUACACUGAUGGUACCUGAGGAAUAAGCACCGGCUAACUCCGUG
RNAcentral lists this ribosomal RNA (473 nucleotides) under uncultured bacterium. Its description in RNAcentral is "partial 16S ribosomal RNA". It matches the Rfam family "Bacterial small subunit ribosomal RNA", at positions 28 to 507 of the family's 1533-position model. The record is from RNAcentral.